This 373-nucleotide ribosomal RNA is filed under the name uncultured bacterium. RNAcentral describes it as "bacterial SSU rRNA". It matches the Rfam family "Bacterial small subunit ribosomal RNA", at positions 525 to 896 of the family's 1533-position model. The record is from RNAcentral.
ACAGAGACUGCGAGCGUUAUUCGGAUUCACUGGGCGUAAAGGGUGCGCAGGCGGCCAUGUGUGUGAGGCGUGAAAGCCCGGAGCUCAACUCCGGAAUUGCACCUCAAACUAUAUGGCUAGAGCAUUGGAGAGGGUAGCAGAAUUCAUGGUGUAGCAGUGAAAUGCGUAGAUAUCAUGAGGAAUACCAGAGGCGAAGGCGGCUACCUGGACAAUUGCUGACGCUCAGGCACGAAAGCGUGGGGAGCAAAAGGGAUUAGAUACCCCUGUAGUCCACGCCCUAAACGGUGCACACUAGGUCUUGACGGAUUCGACCCCGCCAGGGCCCAAGCUAACGCGUUAAGUGUGCCGCCUGAGGACUACGGCCGCAAGGCUA